This 857-nucleotide ribosomal RNA is filed under the name uncultured bacterium. RNAcentral's name for it is "SSU rRNA". It matches the Rfam family "Bacterial small subunit ribosomal RNA", at positions 524 to 1381 of the family's 1533-position model. The record is from RNAcentral.
UACGGGAGUGGCAAGCGUUAUCCGGAAUUAUUGGGCGUAAAGCGUCCGCAGGCGGUCUUUUAAGUCUGCUGUUAAAGCGUGGAGCUUAACUCCAUUUCGGCAGUGGAAACUGGAAGACUAGAGUGUGGUAGGGGCAGAGGGAAUUCCCGGUGUAGCGGUGAAAUGCGUAGAUAUCGGGAAGAACACCAGUGGCGAAGGCGCUCUGCUGGGCCAUAACUGACGCUCAUGGACGAAAGCCAGGGGAGCGAAAGGGAUUAGAUACCCCUGUAGUCCUGGCCGUAAACGAUGAACACUAGGUGUCGGGGGAAUCGACCCCCUCGGUGUCGUAGCCAACGCGUUAAGUGUUCCGCCUGGGGAGUACGCACGCAAGUGUGAAACUCAAAGGAAUUGACGGGGGCCCGCACAAGCGGUGGAGUAUGUGGUUUAAUUCGAUGCAACGCGAAGAACCUUACCAGGGUUUGACAUCCUGCGAAUCCCUUGGAAACGAGGGAGUGCCUUCGGGAACGCAGUGACAGGUGGUGCAUGGCUGUCGUCAGCUCGUGUCGUGAGAUGUUGGGUUAAGUCCCGCAACGAGCGCAACCCACGUCGUUAGUUGCCAGCAUUCAGUUGGGCACUCUAGCGAGACCGCCGGUGAUAAACCGGAGGAAGGUGUGGAUGACGUCAAGUCAUCAUGCCCCUUACAUCCUGGGCUACACACGUACUACAAUGCUACGGACAAAGGGCAGCAAACUCGCGAGAGCUAGCAAAUCCCAUAAACCGUGGCUCAGUUCAGAUCGUAGGCUGCAACUCGCCUACGUGAAGGAGGAAUCGCUAGUAAUCGCAGGUCAGCAUACUGCGGUGAAUACGUUCCCGGGCCU